GACGAACGCUGGCGGCGUGCUUAACACAUGCAAGUCGAACGGAAAGGCCCUGCUUGCAUGGUACUCUAGUGUCGAACGGGUGAGUAACACGUGGGUGAUCUGCCCUGCACUUCGGGUUAAGCCUGGGAAACUAUGUCUAAUACCGGCUAGGAGCCAUUCUUAGUGUGAUUUUUCGAAAGUUUGUUCGGUGGAGGAUGGGCUCGCGGCCUAUCAGUUUGUUUGUGGGGGAAUGGCCUACCAAGGCGGUGACGGUAGACGGCCUGAGAGGGUGGAGGGCCACAUUGGGACUGAGAUGCGGCCCAGACCACUACGGGACGCAGCAGUGGGGAAUAUUGCACAAUGGGCGCAAGCCUGAUGCAGCGACGCCGCGUGGGGUAUGACGGGCUUCGGGUUGUAAACUACUGUCGCUAGGGACGAAGCGUUUUGUGACGGUACCUAGAGAAGAAGCACCGGCUAACUACGUG
Molecule: ribosomal RNA, 464 nt
Filed under: uncultured bacterium
Lineage: Bacteria
Description: partial 16S ribosomal RNA
Rfam family: Bacterial small subunit ribosomal RNA
Source: RNAcentral